CACCCGUUCCCAUCCCGAACACGGAAGUUAAGCUCUCCAGCGCCGAUGGUAGUUGGGGCCAGCGCCCCUGCAAGAGUAGGACGUUGCUAGGC
Molecule: ribosomal RNA, 92 nt
Filed under: Anoxybacteroides tepidamans
Lineage: Bacteria; Bacillati; Bacillota; Bacilli; Caryophanales; Anoxybacillaceae
Source: RNAcentral